Molecule: unclassified non-coding RNA, 146 nt
Filed under: uncultured Cadophora
Lineage: Eukaryota; Fungi; Ascomycota; Leotiomycetes; Helotiales
Description: sequence contains ITS2
Source: RNAcentral
UAACCACUCAAGCCUUUGCUUGGUAUUGGGGUUCGCGGUUUCGCGGCUCCUAAAAUCAGUGGCGGUGCCUGUCGGCUCUACGCGUAGUAAUACUCCUCGCGUCUGGGUCCGGUAGGUGACUUGCCAGCAACCUCCAAAUUUUUACA